This 453-nucleotide ribosomal RNA is filed under the name Salmonella enterica subsp. enterica serovar Infantis. RNAcentral's name for it is "partial 23S ribosomal RNA". It matches the Rfam family "Bacterial large subunit ribosomal RNA", at positions 67 to 559 of the family's 2925-position model. The record is from RNAcentral. RNAcentral also lists the same sequence under 5 other names. Lineage: Bacteria; Pseudomonadati; Pseudomonadota; Gammaproteobacteria; Enterobacterales; Enterobacteriaceae.
UGCGAUAAGCGCCGGUAAGGUGAUAUGAACCGUUAUAACCGGCGAUUUCCGAAUGGGGAAACCCAGUGUGACUCGUCACACUAUCAUUAACUGAAUCCAUAGGUUAAUGAGGCGAACCGGGGGAACUGAAACAUCUAAGUACCCCGAGGAAAAGAAAUCAACCGAGAUUCCCCCAGUAGCGGCGAGCGAACGGGGAGGAGCCCAGAGCCUGAAUCAGCAUGUGUGUUAGUGGAAGCGUCUGGAAAGGCGCGCGAUACAGGGUGACAGCCCCGUACACAAAAGCGCAUGUGCUGUGAGCUCGAUGAGUAGGGCGGGACACGUGGUAUCCUGUCUGAAUAUGGGGGGACCAUCCUCCAAGGCUAAAUACUCCUGACUGACCGAUAGUGAACCAGUACCGUGAGGGAAAGGCGAAAAGAACCCCGGCGAGGGGAGUGAAAAAGAACCUGAAACCGU